RNAcentral lists this ribosomal RNA (422 nucleotides) under Drosophila kepulauana. RNAcentral's name for it is "partial 12S ribosomal RNA". Lineage: Eukaryota; Metazoa; Arthropoda; Insecta; Diptera; Drosophilidae. The record is from RNAcentral.
AUAAAUACUUAAGUAGUAGUAGUUAUGUUCUUGAAACUUAAAAAAUUUGGCGGUAUUUUAGUCUAUCCAGAGGAACCUGUUUUGUAAUCGAUAAUCCACGAUGGACCUUACUUAAGUUUGUAAUCAGUUUAUAUACCGUCGUUAUCAGAAUAUUUUAUAAGAAUAAAAAUAUUCAAUAAUUUAUAUUAAAAUUUAUAUCAGAUCAAGGUGUAGCUUAUAUUUAAGUAAUAAUGGGUUACAAUAAAAAUAUUUAAACGAAUAAAAUAAUGAAAAAAUUUUUGAAGGUGGAUUUGGUAGUAAAAUUAUAAAGAUUAAUAAUUUGAUUUUAGCUCUAAAAUAUGUACACAUCGCCCGUCGCUCUUAUUAUUAAGGUAAGAUAAGUCGUAACAUAGUAGAUGUACUGGAAAGUGUAUCUAGAAUGA